RNAcentral lists this ribosomal RNA (490 nucleotides) under uncultured bacterium. RNAcentral describes it as "partial 16S ribosomal RNA". It matches the Rfam family "Bacterial small subunit ribosomal RNA", at positions 30 to 507 of the family's 1533-position model. The record is from RNAcentral.
AUUGAACGCUGGCGGCAGGCCUAACACAUGCAAGUCGAACGGUAACAGGAAACAGCUUGCUGUUUCGCUGACGAGUGGCGGACGGGUGAGGAAUGUCUGGGAAACUGCCUGAUGGAGGGGGAUAACUACUGGAAACGGUAGCUAAUACCGCAUAACGUCGCAAGACCAAAGAGGGGGACCCUCGGGCCUCUUGCCAGCGGUUGUGCCCAGAUGGGAUUAGCUUGUUGGUGGGGUAACGGCUCACCAAGGCGACGAUCCCUAGCUGGUCUGAGAGGAUGACCAGCCACACUGGAACUGAGACACGGCCCAGACUCCUACGGGAGGCAGCAGUGGGGAAUAUUGCACAAUGGGCGCAAGCCUGAUGCAGCCAUGCCGCGUGUAUGAAGAAGGCCUUCGGGUUGUAAAGUACUUUCAGCGGGGAGGAAGGGAGUAAAGUUAAUACCUUUGCUCAUUGACGUUACCCGCAGAAGAAGCACCGGCUAACUCCGUG